GACGAACGCUGGCGGCGUGCCUAAUACAUGCAAGUCGAGCGAGUCUGCCUUGAAGAUCGGAGUGCUUGCACUCUGUGAAACAAGAUACAGGCUAGCGGCGGACGGGUGAGUAACACGUGGGUAACCUGCCCAAGAGAUCGAGAUAACACCUGGAAACAGAUGCUAAUACCGGAUAACAACAGAUGAUGCCUAUCAACUGUUUAAAAGAUGGUUCUGCUAUCACUCUUGGAUGGACCUGCGGUGCAUUAGCUAGUUGGUAGGGUAACGGCCUACCAAGGCGAUGAUGCAUAGCCGAGUUGAGAGACUGAUCGGCCACAUUGGGACUGAGACACGGCCCAAACUCCUACGGGAGGCAGCAGUAGGGAAUCUUCCACAAUGGACGCAAGUCUGAUGGAGCAACGCCGCGUGAGUGAAGAAGGGUUUCGGCUCGUAAAGCUCUGUUGUUGGUGAAGAAGGACAGGGGUAGUAACUGACCUUUGUUUGACGGUAAUCAAUUAGAAAGUCACGGCUAACUACGUG
RNAcentral lists this ribosomal RNA (519 nucleotides) under uncultured bacterium. RNAcentral's name for it is "partial 16S ribosomal RNA". It matches the Rfam family "Bacterial small subunit ribosomal RNA", at positions 28 to 507 of the family's 1533-position model. The record is from RNAcentral.